Molecule: long non-coding RNA, 257 nt
Filed under: Lathyrus oleraceus (garden pea)
Lineage: Eukaryota; Viridiplantae; Streptophyta; Magnoliopsida; Fabales; Fabaceae
Description: Pisum sativum (pea) long non-coding RNA (PSAT_LNC018311)
Source: RNAcentral
AAAUAGAUGAGCCACCAGAUCCAAUUCAUUAAUUGACGUGGCAAUGGUACACGGUCUGGACCUGAGGAUACACGGUGGGCUCAAGUCAACAGCGAAGCAUAGUGAAUUAAAACAGGUAAUUAAAAUGGACGCAUGAGAUUAGAUCGUGAGAGGGAGAUCCAAAGGCUGGGAUUAGAACACGUGGUGGUGGUGAUGGAAACCACCAUCUUUUCCGAUCAACCACACAAACUCCGGCCAGAAUUGCAGGAAAAUAGAUC